AUUGAACGCUGGCGGCAUGCUUUACACAUGCAAGUCGAACGGCAGCGCGGGGCAACCUGGCGGCGAGUGGCGAACGGGUGAGUAAUAUAUCGGAACGUACCCAGAAGUGGGGGAUAACGUAGCGAAAGUUACGCUAAUACCGCAUACGAUCUACGGAUGAAAGUAGGGGACCGCAAGGCCUUAUGCUUUUGGAGCGGCCGAUAUCUGAUUAGCUAGUUGGUGAGGUAAAGGCUCACCAAGGCGACGAUCAGUAGCUGGUCUGAGAGGACGACCAGCCACACUGGAACUGAGACACGGUCCAGACUCCUACGGGAGGCAGCAGUGGGGAAUUUUGGACAAUGGGCGCAAGCCUGAUCCAGCAAUGCCGCGUGAGUGAAGAAGGCCUUCGGGUUGUAAAGCUCUUUUGUCAGGGAAGAAACGGUAGAGGCUAAUAUCCUUUGCUAAUGGCGGUACCUGAAGAAUAAGCACCGGCUAACUACGUG
RNAcentral lists this ribosomal RNA (482 nucleotides) under uncultured bacterium. RNAcentral's name for it is "partial 16S ribosomal RNA". It matches the Rfam family "Bacterial small subunit ribosomal RNA", at positions 30 to 507 of the family's 1533-position model. The record is from RNAcentral.